Molecule: ribosomal RNA, 507 nt
Filed under: uncultured bacterium
Lineage: Bacteria
Description: bacterial SSU rRNA
Rfam family: Bacterial small subunit ribosomal RNA
Source: RNAcentral
AAUCAACGCUGGCGGCGUGCCUAACACAUGCAAGUCGAACGCGAAAGGGGAGCAAUCCCUGAGUAGAGUGGCAAACGGGUGAGUAACACGUGGGUGACCUGCCUUCGAGUGGGGGAUAACGUUCCGAAAGGAACGCUAAUACCGCAUGACAUCCUGCUUUUGGAGAAGCGGAGAUCAAAGCUGGGGAUUCGCAAGAACCUAGCGCUUGAAGAGGGGCCCGCGCCUGAUUAGCUAGUUGGUGGGGUAACGGCUCACCAAGGCUUCGAUCAGUAUCCGGCCUGAGAGGGCGGACGGACACACUGGGACUGAGACACGGCCCAGACUCCUACGGGAGGCAGCAGUGGGGAAUAUUGCGCAAUGGCCUAACGGCUGACGCAGCGACGCCGCGUGUGGGAUGACGCCCUUCGGGGUGUAAACCACUGUUGCUCGAGACGAAUAGCGAGCUUAGCUCGCCUGACGGUAUCGAGUGAGGAAGCACCGGCUAACUCCGUGCCAGCAGCCGCGGUA